GAUGAAGAACGCAGCGAAAUGCGAUAAGUAAUGUGAAUUGCAGAAUUCAGUGAAUCAUCGAAUCUUUGAACGCACAUUGCGCCCCUUGGUAUUCCGAGGGGCAUGCCUGUUCGAGCGUCAUUAUAACCCCUCAAGCUCAGCUUGGUGUUGGGGCCUGCUGCACUGGCAGCCCUUAAAAUCAGUGGCGGCGCCAUCUGGCUCUAAGCGUAGUAAUUCUUCUCGCUAUGGAGUCCUGGUGGAUGCUUGCCAUCAACCCCCAAUUUUUCUAUGGUUGACCUCGGAUCAGGUGGGGAUACCCGCUGAACUUAAGCAUAUCAAUAAGCGGAGGA
RNAcentral lists this unclassified non-coding RNA (329 nucleotides) under soil metagenome. Its description in RNAcentral is "partial contains 5.8S ribosomal RNA, internal transcribed spacer 2, and large subunit ribosomal RNA". The stretch from base 1 to 120 matches the Rfam family "5.8S ribosomal RNA", at positions 35 to 154 of the family's 154-position model. The record is from RNAcentral.